RNAcentral lists this ribosomal RNA (508 nucleotides) under uncultured bacterium. RNAcentral's name for it is "partial 16S ribosomal RNA". It matches the Rfam family "Bacterial small subunit ribosomal RNA", at positions 28 to 523 of the family's 1533-position model. The record is from RNAcentral.
GAUGAACGCUAGCUACAGGCUUAACACAUGCAAGUCGAGGGGCAGCGGUAUCGAAAGCUUGCUUUCGGUAGCCGGCGACCGGCGCACGGGUGAGUAACGCGUAUCGAACCUGCCUCAUACUCGGGAAUAGCCUUGCGAAAGUAAGAUUAAUGCCCGGUGUUUUCAGAGUCCCGCAUGAGGCUUUGAACAAAGAUUUAUCGGUAUGAGAUGGCGAUGCGUCCCAUUAGCUUGUUGGCGGGGUAACGGCCCACCAAGGCAUCGAUGGGUAGGGGUUCUGAGAGGAAGGUCCCCCACAUUGGAACUGAGACACGGUCCAAACUCCUACGGGAGGCAGCAGUGAGGAAUAUUGGUCAAUGGGCGGAAGCCUGAACCAGCCAAGUAGCGUGCAGGAAGACGGCCCUCAGGGUUGUAAACUGCUUUUAUAAGGGAAUAAAGAUAAGUACGCGUACUUAGUUGCAUGUACCUUAUGAAUAAGCAUCGGCUAACUCCGUGCCAGCAGCCGCCGUAA